Molecule: unclassified non-coding RNA, 318 nt
Filed under: Hevea brasiliensis (rubber tree)
Lineage: Eukaryota; Viridiplantae; Streptophyta; Magnoliopsida; Malpighiales; Euphorbiaceae
Source: RNAcentral
UGGGCAAUGACGAAGAAAUCUCCCGCAUUGGAUUCGGGUCGACAAAAUAGGUACGGGUCGCUAGGCGGUGGCGUGGGUGGAAUUGCAUCUAGGGCAGACGAGGUCGAUAACUGGGCAAGUGUCAAAAAGCCUAUUCCAUCAAGAUCCUCCACAUUUGGUUCUGGUUAUCGUGAGGCAAACGAGCCUGAUCGCUGGGGUAGAGGUCGUUCACGUGAUAGUGACACAGAACGACCCCGGUUAGUACUGGAUCCUCCUAAAGGUAAUGUCGUUACAAAUGAAGCAACGAGGACGAACAAGCCAAGUCCUUUUGGAGCAGCA